AUGCACUGCCUCGCCUGCGCCGCGCCCGCUGCAGCGGCCGCCGCUCGUGCUCCUGGAAGGCGCUUCGGCCGCCGGAGAGUGGUUGUCGACUGCAUCGCCUCCGCAGACCGCAACGUGGAAGGAACGCCUCCGAGGUUAAGGGAAACAUGUGAACUUUCUGAAAUCUCAAGCAAAACACUGCUGUUUGCGUCAAAGAGGAAGAUUCUUGCAUUUUCGGCCUUUUGCCUUUGCUUACAUUCUUCAAGGUACUUAUCAGCACUUGCUUUGGGUGAUCCAACCGUCAAAAUUGAGGAUGUUACUCCAAAGAUAUUUCCAUCUGGUCCAUUGUUUCCAACCGAGAAACGGAUCGCAGAGCUUUUUGAAACAAAUACUUACUCAGUGGUCAACAUUUUUGAUGCGACACUGCGCCCCCAGCUCAAUGUAACAGGGGUUGUUGAGAUCCCAGAAGGAAAUGGUUCUGGAGUUGUUUGGGAUGAGUCUGGUCAUAUUGUUACAAAUUAUCAUGUGGUUGGCAAUGCUCUUUCGAAAAAUCCAAAGCUUGGUGAAGUUGUCGCACGUGUCAACAUUCUUGCUGCCGAAGGGAUACAGAAAAAUUUCGAAGGAAUAUUGAUUGGUGCAGACCGCGCUAAAGAUCUUGCUGUCCUUAAGGUGGACGCCCCUUCAGAUAUCUUGAAGCCAAUUAUUGUGGGGCAGUCCUCAGCUCUAAAAGUUGGUCAGCAAUGCUUAGCAAUUGGAAAUCCUUUUGGUUUUGACCAUACUCUGACUGUUGGUGUUAUCAGUGGUUUAAAUCGAGAUAUAUUUAGUCAAGCUGGAGUGACAAUUGGAGGUGGGAUUCAAACAGAUGCAGCUAUUAACCCUGGGAACAGUGGUGGUCCUUUGCUAGAUUCGAAAGGGCACAUGAUUGGUAUCAACACAGCAAUUUUUACACAGACAGGAACGUCCGCCGGUGUUGGUUUUGCUAUCCAAUCAUCAACUAUACUCAAAAUAGUUCCUCAGUUGAUUCAGUCUGGAAAGGUUCGACGUGCUGGGCUGAAUGUGGAAUUCGCACCAGAUCCGAUUGCGUAUCAGCUUAACGUCCGUGAUGGUGCUCUUAUACUGAAGGUUCCCCCGGGCAGCACCGUGGAAAAAGCAGGUCUAGUUCCUACAGGCAGGGGUUUUGCCGGCAAUAUUGUCCUGGGCGACGUCAUUGUUGCAGUGGAUGGCAAACCGAUUAAGGGCAAAUCUGACCUCCUGAGGGUUCUAGACGACUACGGGGUCGGAGACACGGUGACCCUGACGAUCAGAAGAGGCACUGAGACAAUUCCGAUAGCCCUGUCGCUGGAAGACGCAAGCGUUUGA
Molecule: ribosomal RNA, 1338 nt
Filed under: Triticum aestivum (bread wheat)
Lineage: Eukaryota; Viridiplantae; Streptophyta; Magnoliopsida; Poales; Poaceae
Description: partial small subunit ribosomal RNA
Source: RNAcentral